UGGGGAAUUUUGGACAAUGGGCGCAAGCCUGAUCCAGCCAUGCCGCGUGAGUGAAGAAGGCCUUCGGGUUGUAAAGCUCUUUUGUCCGGGAGCAAAGUUUGGUGGUGAAUACCCAUCAAAUAUGAGAGUACCGGAAGAAUAAGCACCGGCUAACUACGUGCCAGCAGCCGCGGUAAUACGUAGGGUGCGAGCGUUAAUCGGAAUUACUGGGCGUAAAGGGUGCGCAGGUGGUUGUGUAAGUCUGAUGUGAAAGCCCCGGGCUUAACCUGGGAACUGCAUUGGAGACUGCACGGCUAGAGUGCGUCAGAGGGGGGUGGAAUUCCACGUGUAGCAGUGAAAUGCGUAGAGAUGUGGAGGAACACCGAUGGCGAAGGCAGCCCCCUGGGAUGACACUGACACU
RNAcentral lists this ribosomal RNA (400 nucleotides) under uncultured bacterium. Its description in RNAcentral is "bacterial SSU rRNA". It matches the Rfam family "Bacterial small subunit ribosomal RNA", at positions 355 to 747 of the family's 1533-position model. The record is from RNAcentral.